GGUAAGCUUGGUACUACCUCUUUGUUUCCUUGUUUUCUUUGUUAUUGAAGAGUAAUGGAUAGUUUCUUAAUAUUGAGAAGUGAGUCUGUGGAAUAAAUCAAAGAUUGAUUUAUGAGUUAUUGAUUAUGUAAUUGGAGUACUGAGUGAUUGGAUUAUAUGAGGAGUUAUUGGAAGAUUAUGAUUGUUGUUUAUUGAGAGCUGUGUGUGUUUUAGACAAAGGAAGUUGGUGAUUACAGAAAUUCUGUGAAUUCAGAUUGGUUGGAAUGAAGUCUAUUAUUUCUGGUGUUAGAUGGAAAUUAUGUGUUUUGAGCGGUCUUUUGAGAGUGCAGAAAUGC
RNAcentral lists this long non-coding RNA (335 nucleotides) under Physcomitrium patens. RNAcentral describes it as "long non-coding RNA (PPAT_LNC011440)". The record is from RNAcentral. Lineage: Eukaryota; Viridiplantae; Streptophyta; Bryopsida; Funariales; Funariaceae.